RNAcentral lists this ribosomal RNA (471 nucleotides) under uncultured bacterium. RNAcentral describes it as "partial 16S ribosomal RNA". It matches the Rfam family "Bacterial small subunit ribosomal RNA", at positions 28 to 507 of the family's 1533-position model. The record is from RNAcentral.
GACGAACGCUGGCGGCGUGCUUAACACAUGCAAGUCGAACGAUGAAGCCUAGCUUGCUAGGUGGAUUAGUGGCGAACGGGUGAGUAAUACGUGAGUAACCUACCUUUAACUCUGGGAUAAGCCUGGGAAACUGGGUCUAAUACCGGAUACGACCAAUCUCCGCCUGGGGUGUUGGUGGAAAGCGUUAUGUAGUGGUUAUAGAUGGGCUCACGGCCUAUCAGCUUGUUGGUGAGGUAACGGCUCACCAAGGCGACGACGGGUAGCCGGCCUGAGAGGGUGACCGGGCACACGGGGACUGAGACACGGCCCAGAAUCCUACGGGAGGCAACAGUGGGGAAUAUUGCACAAUGGGGGCGAGCCUGAUGCAGCGACGCCGCGUGAGGGAAGAUGGCCUUCGGGUUGUAAACCUCUGUUAGCAGGGAAGAAGAGAAAUUGACGGUACCUGCAGAGAAAGCGCCGGCUAACUACGUG